RNAcentral lists this ribosomal RNA (852 nucleotides) under uncultured bacterium. RNAcentral describes it as "bacterial SSU rRNA". It matches the Rfam family "Bacterial small subunit ribosomal RNA", at positions 96 to 986 of the family's 1533-position model. The record is from RNAcentral.
CGGCAGACGGGAGAGUAACACGUGGGAACGUGCCUAUCGGUUCGGAACAACCCAGGGAAACUUGGGCUAAUACCGGAUACCCCCUUACGGGGAAAGAUUUAUCGCUGAUAGAGCGGCCCGCGUCUGAUUAGCUAGUUGGUGAGGUAACGGCUCACCAAGGCGACGAUCAGCUCUGGUCUGAGAGGAUGAUCGGCCUCGCUGGGACUGAAACACGGCCCAUACUCCUACGGGAGGCAGCGGUGGGGAAUAUUGGACGAUGGGCGCACGCCUGAUCCAACCCUGCCGGGUGGAUGAUGAAUGCCUUAUGGUUGUAAAAUCCUUUCGGGGGGGAAGAUAAUGACGGUACCCGCAGAAUAAGCCCCGGCUAACUUCGUGCCAGCAGCCGCGGUAAUACGAAGGAGGCUAGCGUUGCUCGGAAUCACUGGGCGUAAAGCGCACGUAGGCGGCUUUUUAAGUCUGGGGUGAAAUCCUGGAGCUCAACUCCAUAACUGCCUUUGAUACUGAGAAGCUUGAGUCCGGGAGAGGUGAGUGGAACUGCUGGUGUAGAGGUGAAAUUCGUAGAUAUUCGCAAGAACACCAGUGGCGAAGGCGGCUCACUGGCCCGGUACUGACGCUGAGGUGCGAAAGCGUGGGGAGCAAACGGGAUUAGAUACCCUGGUAGUCCACGCCGUAAACGAUGGAUGCUAGCCGUUGGCAGGCUUGCCUGUCAGUGGCGCAGCUAACGCAUUAAGCAUCCCGCCUGUGGAGUACAGUCGCAAGAUUAAGACUCUCAGGAGUUGACGGGGGGCCGCACAAGCGGUGGAGCAUGUGUGUCUAUUCUCAACACCGCGCAGAACCUUACCAACUUUGACA